Molecule: ribosomal RNA, 497 nt
Filed under: uncultured bacterium
Lineage: Bacteria
Description: partial 16S ribosomal RNA
Rfam family: Bacterial small subunit ribosomal RNA
Source: RNAcentral
GAUGAACGCUGGCGGCGUGCCUAAUGCGUGCAAGUCGAGCGAACGGACGAGAAGCUUGCUUCUCUGAUGUUAGCGGCGGACGGGUGAGUAACACGUGGAUAACCUACCUAUAAGACUGGGAUAACUUCGGGAAACCGGAGCUAAUACCGGAUAAUAUUUUGAACCGCAUGGUUCAAAAGUGAAAGACGGUCUUGCUGUCACUUAUAGAUGGAUCCGCGCUGCAUUAGCUAGUUGGUAAGGUAACGGCUUACCAAGGCAACGAUGCAUAGCCGACCUGAGAGGGUGAUCGGCCACACUGGAACUGAGACACGGUCCAGACUCCUACGGGAGGCAGCAGUAGGGAAUCUUCCGCAAUGGGCGAAAGCCUGACGGAGCAACGCCGCGUGAGUGAUGAAGGUCUUCGGAUCGUAAAACUCUGUUAUUAGGGAAGAACAUAUGUGUAAGUAACUGUGCACAUCUUGACGGUACCUAAUCAGAAAGCCACGGCUAACUACGUG